AGUGAACGCUGGCGGUAGGCCUAACACAUGCGAGUCGAACGACAGCACAGUAAGAGCUUGCUCUUACGGGUGGCGAGUGGCGGACGGGUGAGGAAUACAUCGGAAUCUACUUUUUCGUGGGGGAUAACGUAGGGAAACUUACGCUAAUACCGCAUACGACCUACGGGUGAAAGCAGGGGAUCUUCGGACCUUGCGCGAUUGAAUGAGCCGAUGUCGGAUUAGCUAGUUGGCGGGGUAAAGGCCCACCAAGGCGACGAUCCGUAGCUGGUCUGAGAGGAUGAUCAGCCACACUGGAACUGAGACACGGUCCAGACUCCUACGGGAGGCAGCAGUGGGGAAUAUUGGACAAUGGGCGCAAGCCUGAUCCAGCCAUACCGCGUGGGUGAAGAAGGCCUUCGGGUUGUAAAGCCCUUUUGUUGGGAAAGAAAAGCAGCAGGUUAAUACCCCGCUGUUCUGACGGUACCCAAAGAAUAAGCACCGGCUAACUUCGUG
Molecule: ribosomal RNA, 492 nt
Filed under: uncultured bacterium
Lineage: Bacteria
Description: partial 16S ribosomal RNA
Rfam family: Bacterial small subunit ribosomal RNA
Source: RNAcentral